Molecule: ribosomal RNA, 460 nt
Filed under: uncultured bacterium
Lineage: Bacteria
Description: SSU rRNA
Rfam family: Bacterial small subunit ribosomal RNA
Source: RNAcentral
AGAAUCAACGCUGGCGGCGUGCCUAACACAUGCAAGUCGCACGAGAAAGGGACUUCGGUCCUGAGUAAAGUGGCGCACGGGUGAGUAACACGUGAAUCAUCUACCUCCGAAUGGGGAAUAACUGAGAGAAAUCUUAGCUAAUACCGCAUAAUACCUACGGGUCAAAGCAGCAAUGCGUUUGGAGAGGAGUUCGCGAUCGAUUAGUUAGUUGGCGGGGUAAUGGCCCACCAAGACGAUGAUCGAUAUCCGGCCUGAGAGGGCGCACGGACACACUGGAACUGAAACACGGUCCAGACUCCUACGGGAGGCAGCAGUGGGGAAUUUUGCGCAAUGGGGGAAACCCUGACGCAGCAACGCCGCGUGGAGGAUGAAAUAUCUUGGUAUGUAAACUCCUUUCGAUGGGAAGAUAAUGACGGUACCAUAGAAGAAGCCCGGCUAACUUCGUGCCAGCACGCCGGAC